Molecule: ribosomal RNA, 253 nt
Filed under: uncultured bacterium
Lineage: Bacteria
Description: partial 16S ribosomal RNA
Rfam family: Bacterial small subunit ribosomal RNA
Source: RNAcentral
UACGUAGGCAGCAAACGUUGUUCGGAAUUACUGGGCGUAAAGAGUGUGUAGGCGGUUCCGUGUGAUUGGGGUGAAAUCUCCCGGCUUAACUGGGAGGGUGCGCCGAUAACUGCGGGGCUUGAGUAUUGGAGAGGAGAGCGGAAUUCCAGGUGUAGCGGUGAAAUGCGUAGAUAUCUGGAGGAACACCGGUGGCGAAGGCGGCAUCCUGGACCAAUAUUGACGCUGAGGCACGAAAGCGUGGGGAGCAAACAGG